AAUAGUAAAACUGUCACCAAUGAAAAUGCUUCUGCUUCUGCUUUUGCUGCUUUUUCUCCUGUUUCUUCUUCUUCAUCUUCUCCUUCAAUUGUAAAGGAGAAGGAUGAUCCGACUACUAGUAUGCAAAGGAU
This 131-nucleotide non-coding RNA is filed under the name Fragilariopsis kerguelensis. The record is from RNAcentral. Lineage: Eukaryota; Bacillariophyta; Bacillariophyceae; Bacillariales; Bacillariaceae.